Vidua chalybeata is the source of this 683-nucleotide long non-coding RNA. RefSeq lists it as uncharacterized. NCBI's taxonomy places the organism in Eukaryota, Metazoa, Chordata, Aves, Passeriformes, Viduidae. The record is from RefSeq and is a predicted model, not a curated record. The transcript is spliced from 4 exons.
CCUGUAACGACAGAUUUAGACCGGCAGGGAAUCUGAAUCAUUUAAUUAAAGAAACAAGCUGGUUUUAUACAGUUCUUCAAGGCACAGUGUUUCCUUACAUGAUACGUGUCAGAAAGAAGGGACACGCAAGACUUGUAUAUCAGUCACUUUAGUAGCUGAAUUUCCCAUAAACUUCCACUGAGAUCCGAUUAGCUCUGCAGGGAGCAAUAAUCUCCUCAGAUGUUGUACUUCAAGCCCUCUCUGGAUAUUUGAUUCUGUGAACAGCUGCUGAACAUUCAGAUUGAUUGCUUUUCCUUCACAUACUACUGAAGAGUUCAUUUAUUCCGCUGCAGUCUGGUGGGAUUUAUAUUUGAGUACUAUCCUGAGCCUGUGUUCCAGCCCAAAGCUCUUCAAAGUGCAUCCACGCUGCUCAGACUUGGCCCUGUGCUCAACAGCAGACCUUAGGAGACCUCGGGGGUCCAGAAGAGGCAUAUGCUGAGAGCACUGAAUGAAUAUCUUUGGAGUGCAGAGAGUGUGGACAGGUCUGUUCCAGUCUGGUAGCAGCAUUGGAUGGUCAGUGUUGGGCUCCUUCAUCCAUCAGCAUAGCACACAGAUGUCUCACUUUAGAUGAAGGAAGAAACUGGAUUUUCUACCAAGAUGAGUGGAAGUGCAGUAAGACCUCGGUGCCAGUACUGCCCAACUGC